AGAGUUUGAUCCUGGCUCAGGAUGAACGCUGGCGGCAUGCCUAACACAUGCAAGUCGAACGGGGUUUAUAUAACAGAACUCUCCGGAGGGAAGAUAUAUAAACCUAGUGGCGGACGGGUGAGUAACGCGUGGGCAACCUGCCCUGUACCGGGGGACAACAGCCAGAAAUGGCUGCUAAUACCGCAUAAGCCUGCGGUGCCGCAUGGCACAGCAGGGAAAACCACGGUGGUACAGGAUGGGCCCGCGUCUGAUUAGUUAGUUGGCAGGGUAACGGCCUACCAAGACGAUGAUCAGUAGCCGGCUUGAGAGAGUGGACGGCCACAUUGGGACUGAGACACGGCCCAGACUCCUGCGGGAGGCAGCAGUGGGGAAUAUUGCACAAUGGGGGGAACCCUGAUGCAGCAAUGCCGCGUGGGUGAAGAAGCACUCCGGUGCGUAAAGCCCUGUCAGCAGGGAAGAAAAUGACAGUACCUGACCAAGAAGCCCCGGCUAACUACGUGCCAGCAGCCGCGGUAAUACGUAGGGGGCAAGCGUUAUCCGGAUUUACUGGGUGUAAAGGGAGCGCAGGCGGUAUGGCAAGUCAGAUGUGAAAACCCAGGGCCCAACCCUGGGACUGCAUUUGAAACUGCCAUACUGGAGUGCCGGAGAGGUAAGUGGAAUUCCUAGUGUAGCGGUGAAAUGCGUAGAUAUUAGGAGGAGCACCAGUGGCGAAGGCGGCUUACUGGACGGUAACUGACGCUGAGGCUCGAAAGCGUGGGGAGCAAACAGGAUUAGAUACCCCUGUAGUCCACGCUGUAAACG
Molecule: ribosomal RNA, 801 nt
Filed under: uncultured bacterium
Lineage: Bacteria
Description: bacterial SSU rRNA
Rfam family: Bacterial small subunit ribosomal RNA
Source: RNAcentral